RNAcentral lists this long non-coding RNA (946 nucleotides) under Coturnix japonica (Japanese quail). RNAcentral describes it as "lncRNA (ENSCJPG00005003830.1)". Lineage: Eukaryota; Metazoa; Chordata; Aves; Galliformes; Phasianidae. The record is from RNAcentral.
CUUUUCCCUAAGACAAACUCACAGUCCUGCAGUGAUAGCAUCACCCAAAAGUCCUUUAGGGGUUCCUAAAGGACUCUCUCUGCAAUGAGCUCAGGGGGCAAGAUGGCAUGUGCUAAUCCCUGAGAGCACUGCAGCCCAGUGUGCGUGUGGAGUGAACUUUUGGCUAAACGAGGCAGGAAAAGAACGAGCACAUGCAGCAACUACGUCUGCCUAUGCAGCCAGUGCAAAUGCUGAGGGCCAGCUGGACAAGACUGCAUGCAAAUGGGGUCAGGUGAGAGGCCCAGGUAGCACCCACUGAGCUCCACCAUUUCUCCACCUUCUCUUGCCCAAAUGUGUGACGAAGGUACACAGAACUCUUCACACAUCCUGCUAUGUACAGCUCCAUCUGGCAAAGUGGAAAAACAGAAGGCAGACACAAGGAGAGAAAGAAGGCACAAAGAAGGAUACCUCACUGAAGAAGCCUACCUCUGCUUGCAUUGUGCUGCUGUUCUGAGCAGAGGAGGACCCUCCUCACCCAUGGUUCCGCCUGUCAGAUGGCAGGUGCAUGCUCAGCUCCCUAAGCCCCGUUUUGGCCAUUCUGGGUUCUGCCAUCACCCAGCAGCAGAGGCAUGCAUUUUUUCUGCAGCAGAGGGGCAAGGCCCCUGGCAGUGGAGGUAGGCCACAUGACGUGACACGACUGCACCCUCUCCAGCACUGUAAAUAUGCCACGCUUCUUUUUAUUGUUGUGUCAUAAUCACAAAGCUCCUUUAAUGUAGUUUGUUUAACUGGAUGACUUCUGCGCUAAAAAUAAGUGGAUCUCGCUGUUUCCAGGACAACCACCAUCCCAACGGCUUAUCUUGGCGCCUCUCCUCUGUCAGAAAGAUGUUCUAAAAAGAGAUGGCCAUGAAUAUUAAAGACUAGGCAUGCACACAAUAAAGCAUUCCAUGGGAAGAGCCCCGUGUUUAAA